GCGGGUGUGGUUCAAUGGUAGAACACGACCUUGCCAAGGUUGAGACGAGGGUCCGAUUCCCUUCACCCGCUCCC
RNAcentral lists this transfer RNA (74 nucleotides) under Candidatus Yanofskybacteria bacterium RIFCSPHIGHO2_01_FULL_41_26. RNAcentral's name for it is "tRNA-Gly". It matches the Rfam family "tRNA". From Rfam's summary of the family: Transfer RNA (tRNA) molecules are approximately 80 nucleotides in length. Their secondary structure includes four short double-helical elements and three loops (D, anti-codon, and T loops). Further hydrogen bonds mediate the characteristic L-shaped molecular structure. tRNAs have two regions of fundamental functional importance: the anti-codon, which is responsible for specific mRNA codon recognition, and the 3' end, to which the tRNAs corresponding amino acid is attached (by aminoacyl-tRNA synthetases). tRNAs cope with the degeneracy of the genetic code in two manners: having more than one tRNA (with a specific anti-codon) for a particular amino acid; and 'wobble' base-pairing, i.e. permitting non-standard base-pairing at the 3rd anti-codon position. Lineage: Bacteria; Candidatus Yanofskyibacteriota. The record is from RNAcentral.